GGAAGAAAGAUUUUACAAAUAUUCUAUCUUCUGCAAUCUUAUUUUAGAAAAAUUAUUUAGUUUAAGCAGAUGGGCUGUUUAAAAUAAUUAGAUACUUUCACAGUUUAAGUAACUUUCUAUGCUACUUUUCAGAGGAAAUAGCCAAUGUGCAACAUGGGAAUGUGACAGUAAGUCAGUCACAAAGACACACACAGGUUGGUUAUAAAAGUGACAUGCAGCAUGUACUUAGGAUCUCUGCAGGCUUUUACAACUCAGAGCAAACCUUUUGCUGCCAAGAUCACAAAAUUAUUGAUACAUGAAUGUGCUUGACAAAAGCAGUUUCAUUUAUAAAUGGAUAAGAAAUAUGAAAUUGCUGUAUUUUUCAAUUUAUUUGUGUUUAUUCUUUCUUACAAUAUACUUCAACUUCUUUGUGUGCUUUUGUUGAGACCAGCAUUGAAAAGUAGGGAUUUAAGUAUGGAACAAUUCUAAUAGCUAUACUGCUCUUUUCUACUAUUAGAAGGAUUUGCAUCAUAACUAAAUAUUUGCUUGUGGUUUUAAGUGCGAAAAAAAUAAAUUAUGUUUGCAGCAGAAACUUCUACCCCCACACCAAGUGUAUGUCUCCUAGCCCAUUAGCUAAGCUCAGAUGAAUAACUCAGAGUCUUAGCAGAUGAGUUCUUUCCCCAAGGGAAAAAAUCUUUCAUGUUUGGAGGGCAACAGUGCUGCAAAACAAGGGAACUCUGCAGAACUGCUGUGAGGUAGCCAGUGCACACUUUUAAAGCAAUGUAAAGUUUGGGUUUCUGAGGGUUGUUUUUAGUCUUGCUUGGAUGGAGAUGGAAGAUGACUCCUGACUGCCUGCUUGAAUUAGGGAACAUGACUUAAUAUCUUUCUUAUAGUGAAAUGCAAAAAACUUAAAUUAAACCUUUUGAGAACUUCAGCAUAUUUUCAAGAGAUUUGUAUUUGGAACAAGAUGUGUAAAAACAGGCUGUCCCGUGCUCAUGAGGACCUGUACAUGGAACUCUUAUUCUGAGCUUGUAUGUAAGUAGACAUUAAAUGGAAUAUUUCCUAAUAUGUUUGGAUCCAAAUUGAGUAUAUACUGUAUGUCAAAGGAUAACAUUAGAGAAAAUUUUCCCAUUGGCUGUUCCUCUAAAAAUACAAAGUUCCAGUGAUUUUUUACUCCCAAAAUUUUCUCCCUGUCUUUUUUUUUUUUUUUUUUCCUCUCUUUCAGGUUUUAACUUUCAAUUUAAUACAUACAUAUAAUUUUUUAGGCUUUAUAGUAAUGCAAGUUAUCUUCAUUUUCUUCUUGCCUUAUAUCUUAAUGAGCAUCCAGAUUGUUACCUAUGUGUGUACAGAUACAUAUAUUCACAAUAAGGAAUGAAAUUAAUUGUUAGAGAGAGGAGAAAUACCUGGUAAGUGCUUUUUCAUGUCUGCAUGAAUUCUCUUUGCAACCUCAAUUCAUGCUUUGUUGGCAGUUAAGGUUGUUAUCUGAGGAAAAAUAACCUCAUAGCCCAAUAAAAAGAAAGUUCUUCAAGUUCCUUUUUGUUUACAUGAAGGAAUAAGCAACCAAAAAGGUUUUUAGUUGUGCAUGUUUCUGUACACAUCGUGUUAUUAAACAGUGUGAAUGCAAACUGAAAACUUGAUAUUUUGCUGAGGCAAUCACAGGGUAUAAGGGGAAGAAUAUUUGGCAGUGAAGUCAGAUAGGAGUGAAAUAUAUUUUUUUUAUGAUUCAUCUUUCACACAUUUAGCUUGAAAGAGUAGCUCUGAAUAAUUCUGCUUUGGAAUGAAGUGGCCUACCAAAGCCAAACAACAUGAGAGGCUUCAACUGAAAAGCUACUCACCAUCAAGGCUGGAUUGUGAAUGUUGUGUUCAUGACCAGCAAAGCCGCCUGAAAAUGUGUGUUUUUGCAAGUGCUUCCCUGAAGCGGAGCAACUUAAUUUGGUUGCUCUGCGGGAUUAUCUGAUUUUGGGGCUGCUUAGACAUUAAUUCCACAAGCCCAAAUUACUUUCAACAAAGGGUCACAGAUGCCUACUAAUUCACAGGAUAACUAUUAACUCUGAUUUAGAUUCGCAAUUAAUGCAGGUUUCUCACAUUUUCAACAUCCUCUGCCUUUCCAAGAAUUUAGCAAAAAUAAUGAUAUAAUGACUCAGGAAAAUCACAUUCAUAGACAUCUGUACUUGUCCAGGAUAUAAGACUUGACCACAAACCCUUGUAGUUAUAAAAUACUUUCUGUCUUCUCUAACAUUGUUGGAAGAGUUACAUGUUGUUUCUCAGUGACAUUUCUGAGGUUUUUAAACCUCUGAUAAUAGAUGUGUAAGGCAUAGCUUUAAAAUGGCAAGGUUCAAAAAAAAAAAGCUAGCUAACAAAUUUGUUAGGCCAUACUCUCAUGAUGUACUCUCCCACAAGCCUAAAUAAGAGGUGUUCCUCUUAUUUAGUAUAUGUAUGGUAGUGUUUAAUACAAAAUAAACUUCAUAUGUGCAAACAAGUUCAUUAAAAUUGCAAGAGCCUAUACCACAUUUGUAACAGCUUGCCCAAAGGUUAGCAUUUAUAGUUUUGCACUGCCAACAUCCUGCUUUUAUGGGCCACAUUUAUAUGCUAAAUUGCCUAUUAUGUUAAGUUGUAAGUUCCCAUUUAGCAGCAUCCGGAAUAGGAUUUGACUAUAAGUGUUUAGAUUUUAUUAGUGCUAUGGUUGUCUUCUUAACAGCUCAAACUUCCUGCAGGCUGAAAAUUUGCUGCAUCCUCUACAGAGGUUCUUGUGUACAAGAUGUGUUUAGGAACAGCAAAGGAUAGACAGCAUGGGAAGAAAUGUAAGACACUGCCCAUUGAUUGGAAAAAAUGUGCCUUAUUGUGUCUCACCUCUAAGGAAGUCUUAAAUGUCAUGGUUAAGCAAUGCUUACAUCUAAAACAAUCUCAGUAACAUCCACUUCUUGACUUAACAAGACCAAAAAGGUCAGCUGAAAAUAUUCCAAGAAGAAGGGUGUUUUAUUGGUAAGUAAAUAUGUCUAGCUGCUUUCUUUUUGCUGUAGGUUACUUCCCGACGCAUGACCUAACAGAGGGAAGUGUGAUAUACCAGCCACAUAAACUGAAGUGGCAAAUUUUAGCUGUAUAUGCAGUUCGCAAAGAAACAGAGGAACUGGAAUCACUUACAUGAGAGGAAGAAAUGCCUGGUGGAAUAUUCCUGUUUCUGUUUCUCCAUCUUCCUUGCUAAGUGAAAUCAAGGAACAAGGAAAAUGAUCUCGUUAGGACUAUUACCCAUCAUGCUUGUUCUCAUGGAUUUCUUCUUGCAGAGAUGCUGGAUAAAUUCUGGAAAAAUGCUGAUUAGGAUUGGCCUUGCUCAUACCCAGACCUGAUUGUUCCCAACCCAGAUGGUAUUGGAGUGUUCGAGUUUUUCAUGCCUCAAAAAAACAAUAAGAUGCUUGCCAGUCAAAAAUCCCUGGAGUCUGGAUUUUCUUCAUGCCAGUAUAUUAAAAACCGGAUGGGAAAAAAAAAAAAAAAACAACAACAACAAACCCUCUUUAUUUUGUCCUUGAAACCUCCCAGAGAGAGCUACUUCAUGAAAGGAAGAGAGAUAUUUGAUGGAAUGUGGACAGAUAACUGAGUGCAGGAUCAACUCUUAUUCCUGGAAUGACUUUUAUGGCUACUGAAGUAAAUGUUCUCAGUCCGAUAACAUCAAGAAAGCUUUAAGUAAGUGGAACAUCUUGUAUUGUGGUCAAAGAGAUAUGAAACAUAGCACUAUAAUAACCAAGGCAGUCUUAUUAUCAAGAAAUAUCCUGGCCAAAGGAAGCCAAUAGCAUUCUUAUUUAAAAAAAAAAAAAAAAAAAAAAAGCAAUCAGAAUUCAGAAAGAGAAAAUUGAUUCCACUUUUGAAACCAUGAAACUGCAUGCAGAAAUAAAAUGUGUUAAAUCCAGUUGCACUUAAGUCACUAUUUACUUUUCUCUCACUGUGUGCUUCAGUUCUGUUGAGGGUGAUAAUCACUUGCUGCCAAACCAAAAGGAAAAGCAAACCGUUAUUAUUCUCAGGAUAGUAACAGGGUUUUUGCAAUGAAGGAGUGUGUGCACUCCAAUUAUUUGACUUCCUGUCAGCAAACUAGAUGUUACUAUGUUUGUUUUCUGCUUUCCAGUCAACGUGCUUACAGCACUGCAUUUUCUAAUCUUUCUGGUGCACAGGCUGACAUUGCAGCACCACAGUGUAGUCUGUUACCUUCUGUCACAUCUGCUUAGAUUUGAAGUAACAUGUAUAUACUAAGACACAACCUGAUGAAACACAGCACAUCAGCAACAUAAAGUCAUGCUCUUUCUUGGCUUUGGGGACAAGUGUAGAAACUGAAAUUCUUAUACAAAAGGCAGUGAAGGCAAUAGUGCAUUUGUUUACUGGAGUCAUCAAUUAAAUCAGAAUAUUCCAUUUUCUAUAAUGAAAAAAGUUGGUAAUAUUCAAUGAAAACAUUUACUAAAAUGUAUGAUUCAACAUGUUUUUUUCUCAUUGCCUGUUUUGCAAAUGUUAAUGGGAAAAUCAUAAAUGAACAGAGAGCAAAUCUAAGUCAUUCCUACUGCUUAUUAGAAGCCAAUUCAAUAUGUGAUUAAACAACGUACAAGCCUUGUUCUAAUCCUAUUCAUAAAGUGAAUUUUAUUCUGUAGAAAGAUCAUAUCUAGAAAGCGUGUCAUGACAGAUUUAUCAACAAAUUCAAUUACACUAAAAGCUAGAAUGUCUGCACUAGCAAAAUUGUACAAGAGAAAUUGCUUCAUGAAGUUAGUGAUGAUGUAUUAUUUCUACCUAAGACCCAGACUUCUGAUACCAGUUAAGAUUUAAGAAAAAAAAAUCAGUAUCAUUUGCUCUGUCAAAACACAAAAGAAUAUAACCCUUUUAAACUUAACACAAACCGAAAACUCAUAAAGAACUUACUAAAAUGAAAUACUAAGUUGUUUAUUGCUGGUAGAGGAUAAUGGAUGGGUAUGUUCAGGAAAUGAAGUUACAUCAGUGAGACAGGUCUUGUCUGCAACCACAUAGCAGAUCUUGCACUGAAUGGUUCAUCCUUUGUCUUUUUCAAGUAAAAAAAGAUUCACAUAUUAUAAAUUCCCUUUUUCCUGAUAGUGGAUCAAGAUGGGGGAGACAAAGAUCACGAAUAAUAUUUAUUAAAACCUUUCAUUAAUUAAGCUGGUAUUAUUAUUAGAAUCCAGCUUUUAUUUUUAAUUAAAGAUAACUGUAUGUUCACUUACUCCCCAGCUCAGUCAUACACAUGCUUACGUGAGGUGAGUCACGGUUAUGUGGCUGGUGUAGUGGGGUGGCCAACCAUGGUGAUGUCAGCUGGGUAGGUAGGUGUCUUUGUUUGAACAGAAGCCAUCACGUUUUGUCUGUGGGUCAAGUGAUAGGACCCAUUCUUGAUGCUACUGUGUACUGGUGGCUUUGGACGAAGUCAGCAGACUUUUGGCAUUUUAUCCAUUUCUGCAGGUUCAACCAGACCAUUAGUCUCCAGAGUUUAUCAGACAUUGUAAGGCUUUUAAACACUCUCUCUGAACAUAUAUUGACCCCCUCUUUGGCUGUUUUCUGGUAACUUCCUCUCCAUCCACACCCAUCAGUACCUCCAGACCCAUUUCACACAACUUCACACAGAUGAGUGUGGCACACAACUGAAAUUUCAAAAGUGUGUACACAAAAUGCUGUGAUAACGCUGUAUUCCUGCCAUGUUAUA
This is a long non-coding RNA of Columba livia (rock pigeon), 5659 nucleotides long. RefSeq lists it as uncharacterized. NCBI's taxonomy places the organism in Eukaryota, Metazoa, Chordata, Aves, Columbiformes, Columbidae. The transcript has 4 exons. The record is from RefSeq and is a predicted model, not a curated record.